This 467-nucleotide ribosomal RNA is filed under the name uncultured bacterium. RNAcentral describes it as "partial 16S ribosomal RNA". It matches the Rfam family "Bacterial small subunit ribosomal RNA", at positions 28 to 507 of the family's 1533-position model. The record is from RNAcentral.
GACGAACGCUGGCGGCGUGCUUAACACAUGCAAGUCGAACGGAAAGGCCCUGCUUUUGUGGGGUGCUCGAGUGGCGAACGGGUGAGUAACACGUGAGUAACCUGCCCUUGACUUUGGGAUAACUUCAGGAAACUGGGGCUAAUACCGGAUAGGAGCUCCUGCUGCAUGGUGGGGUUGGAAAGUUUCGGCGGUUGGGGAUGGACUCGCGGCUUAUCAGCUUGUUGGUGGGGUAGUGGCUUACCAAGGCUUUGACGGGUAGCCGGCCUGAGAGGGUGACCGGCCGCAUUGGGACUGAGAUACGGCCCAGACUCCUACGGGAGGCAGCAGUGGGGAAUAUUGCACAAUGGGCGGAAGCCUGAUGCAGCAACGCCGCGUGCGGGAUGACGGCCUUCGGGUUGUAAACCGCUUUCGCCUGUGACGAAGCGUGAGUGACGGUAAUGGGUAAAGAAGCACCGGCUAACUACGUG